This 305-nucleotide ribosomal RNA is filed under the name uncultured bacterium. Its description in RNAcentral is "bacterial SSU rRNA". It matches the Rfam family "Bacterial small subunit ribosomal RNA", at positions 333 to 655 of the family's 1533-position model. The record is from RNAcentral.
GCGUCCCUACGGGAGGCAGCAGUGGGGAAUAUUGCACAAUGGGGGAAACCCUGAUGCAGCGACGCCGCGUGAGUGAAGAAGUAUUUCGGUAUGUAAAGCUCUAUCAGCAGGGAAGAAAGAAGACGGUACCUGACUAAGAAGCCCCGGCUAACUACGUGCCAGCAGCCGCGGUAAUACGGAGGAUGCGAGCGUUAUCCGGAUUUAUUGGGUUUAAAGGGUGCGCAGGCGGAGGUGCAAGUCAGCGGUCAAAUUGCGGGGCUCAACCCCGUACUGCCGUUGAAACUGCAUCCCUUGAGUGCGCGAGG